GAAUAUUGGACAAUGGGGGGAACCCUGAUCCAGCCAUGCCGCGUGUGUGAAGAAGGCCCUUUGGUUGUAAAGCACUUUAAGCGAGGAGGGGGCUUCUCUAGUUAAUACCUAGAGAUAGUGGACGACACUCGCAGAAUAAGCACCGUCUAACGCUGUGCCAGCAGCCGCGGUAAUACAGAGGGUGCAAGAGUUAAUCGGAUUUACUGGGCGUAAAGGCCUCUUAAUUGCGCAAGUAAAUCACCGCUCGAAUCCCCGAGCUUAACUUGAGAAUUGCAGUCGAUACUGGUUGGCUAGAUUAUGGGAACGAAUUAUCUACUUCCUUGUCUCUCUAUACCCUUCGUCGCUAUCUUCAUCCCUCCCUCUCACUACCACCUCCAUCUGUCCUAAUACUGACACUGAGGUGCGAAAGCAUGGGGAGCAAAC
Molecule: ribosomal RNA, 423 nt
Filed under: uncultured bacterium
Lineage: Bacteria
Description: partial 16S ribosomal RNA
Rfam family: Bacterial small subunit ribosomal RNA
Source: RNAcentral